ACCCAUAGAAAUGCCACUAAGACCUUUUC
Molecule: non-coding RNA, 29 nt
Filed under: Homo sapiens (human)
Lineage: Eukaryota; Metazoa; Chordata; Mammalia; Primates; Hominidae
Source: RNAcentral